Molecule: ribosomal RNA, 497 nt
Filed under: uncultured bacterium
Lineage: Bacteria
Description: partial 16S ribosomal RNA
Rfam family: Bacterial small subunit ribosomal RNA
Source: RNAcentral
GAUGAACGCUGGCGGCGUGCCUAAUACAUGCAAGUCGAGCGAACAGAUGAGGAGCUUGCUCCUCUGACGUUAGCGGCGGACGGGUGAGUAACACGUGGAUAACCUACCUAUAAGACUGGGAUAACUACGGGAAACCGGAGCUAAUACCGGAUAAUAUAUUGAACCGCAUGGUUCAAUAGUGAAAGACGGUUUUGCUGUCACUUAUAGAUGGAUCCGCGCCGCAUUAGCUAGUUGGUAAGGUAACGGCUUACCAAGGCAACGAUGCGUAGCCGACCUGAGAGGGUGAUCGGCCACACUGGAACUGAGACACGGUCCAGACUCCUACGGGAGGCAGCAGUAGGGAAUCUUCCGCAAUGGGCGAAAGCCUGACGGAGCAACGCCGCGUGAGUGAUGAAGGUCUUCGGAUCGUAAAACUCUGUUAUCAGGGAAGAACAAAUGUGUAAGUAACUAUGCACGUCUUGACGGUACCUAAUCAGAAAGCCACGGCUAACUACGUG